GAUGAACGCUGGCGGCGUGCCUAAUACAUGCAAGUCGAGCGAACAGACGAGGAGCUUGCUCCUCUGACGUUAGCGGCGGACGGGUGAGUAACACGUGGAUAACCUACCUAUAAGACUGGGAUAACUUCGGGAAACCGGAGCUAAUACCGGAUAAUAUAUUGCACCGCAUGGUUCAAUAGUGAAAGACGGUUUUGCUGUUACUUAUAGCUGGCUCCGCGCCGGAUUAUCUAGUUGGUAAGGUAACGGCUUACCAAGGCGACGAUGCGUAGCCGACCUGAGAGGGUGAUCGGCCACACUGGAACUGAGACACGGUCCAGACUCCUACGGGAGGCAGCAGUAGGGAAUCUUCCGCAAUGGGCGAAAGCCUGACGGAGCAACGCCGCGUGAGUGAUGAAGGUCUUCGGAUCGUAAAACUCUGUUAUUAGGGAAGAACAAAUGUGUAAGUAACUAUGCACGUCUUGACGGUACCUAAUCAGAAAGCCACGGCUAACUACGUG
RNAcentral lists this ribosomal RNA (497 nucleotides) under uncultured bacterium. Its description in RNAcentral is "partial 16S ribosomal RNA". It matches the Rfam family "Bacterial small subunit ribosomal RNA", at positions 28 to 507 of the family's 1533-position model. The record is from RNAcentral.